This 119-nucleotide ribosomal RNA is filed under the name Pteropus alecto (black flying fox). Lineage: Eukaryota; Metazoa; Chordata; Mammalia; Chiroptera; Pteropodidae. The record is from RNAcentral.
GUCUACGGCCAUGCCACCCUGGACACACCUGAUCCUGUCUGAUCUCAGAAGCUAAGCAGGAUCAGGCCUGGUUAGUACUUCGAUGGGAGACCAUAUAGGAAGACCAGGUACUGGAGGCA